UACGUAGGUGGCAAGCGUUGUCCGGAUUUAUUGGGCGUAAAGCGCGCGCAGGUGGUGCGGUAAGUCUGCCGUGAAAUCUCCCGGCUCAACUGGGAGGGGGCGGUGGAGACUGCCGGACUGGAGGGACUCAGAGGCCGGUGGAAUUCCCGGUGUAGUGGUGAAAUGCGUAGAGAUCGGGAGGAACACCAGUGGCGAAGGCGGCCGGCUGGGGGUGCCCUGACGCUGAGGAGCGAAAGCGUGGGGAGCGAACAGG
Molecule: ribosomal RNA, 253 nt
Filed under: uncultured bacterium
Lineage: Bacteria
Description: partial 16S ribosomal RNA
Rfam family: Bacterial small subunit ribosomal RNA
Source: RNAcentral